CGGGGUACCCGAAUCGACUAGUUCGGAGGGUUGUUUCCGAUCAUAGCAGAUAAACUGUUGAAACAUCAUUGUUCGUUUUAAUUUUUGAACAAGUAGACUACACAAGUAUUUUUUACACAUACAUGUAGCAUGUAUACACUAACUGAUUAUCUGCCAGCAACGACAAGGGUAGCGUGAAUCCGGGAUUUUGAAGGGGAACCCAAAUUACCCAGGCAUGCAAUGGAUAGACUAUACGAGACUUAAGUGCACAAACUUUCCCCGUCUUUUUGAAAAAGCCAAAAACACUUUUCUCUCAUCCCCAC
Molecule: long non-coding RNA, 302 nt
Filed under: Mytilus galloprovincialis (Mediterranean mussel)
Lineage: Eukaryota; Metazoa; Mollusca; Bivalvia; Mytilida; Mytilidae
Source: RNAcentral